AGAUCAAGCACACCAGGAAUACUAAGCUCUAGCAAAGGCAAAAUCUGAAUAACCAAAACUUUUGGAAGAAUGAUUGCCAAUCUACUUCUGCAAGGCUGACUGCCGCUUUCAGAUCACAGCAUAAAAUCACAUGCCUAGUGUGAUUGAUUAUGAGAGGCAAGUUCUGAUUUUAAUACGUUGCUCUGGAAUUAAAUCCUUGUAGCCAACCGGAAUCUGCAUA
Molecule: unclassified non-coding RNA, 220 nt
Filed under: Hevea brasiliensis (rubber tree)
Lineage: Eukaryota; Viridiplantae; Streptophyta; Magnoliopsida; Malpighiales; Euphorbiaceae
Source: RNAcentral